This 919-nucleotide long non-coding RNA is filed under the name Prunus dulcis (almond). RNAcentral describes it as "sRNA ncRNA". The record is from RNAcentral. Lineage: Eukaryota; Viridiplantae; Streptophyta; Magnoliopsida; Rosales; Rosaceae.
GUUUAGCCAUCAUGCUCCACGCCCAUAGUCUAGCAACAUGAGUUGUUCUUGCUCUUGAGAGUUCUUCCAACUUCAAUCUUUUUGUCUAGCCGACUUAGUAUGUUCUCUACAACUUUAGAAUCAUUAUUAUAUUCAUGAUCCUUCUAGAAUUGUGUAGAACACAAAUGAACAUUAUUUUUCGACAGCUUUGAGCCAUUAAUGGUUAGUCUCUUUCUUUCUCAGGAGAAUUGAACUCCACUUCUCCUCACUUCUCAAAGAAAUGGAUAUUUGCAAACCUUCACUCCAAAGGACGCAGAAGACACAAAGACCCAAUUGCAGUUCUUCAAGAAAUUCAAGCCUUCUUUGGGCAUUCUUGGCGUCUUUUUGGUCACUCUUCUCUCUUCAUCAGCCGCUUCUCCUGCUUGGAUUGCAAUACAGUUCGUAGCGGGAUUCGUUCUCGUGGGGUUGCCUUGCUGGGUUUUAGAUGAUUUAUGUGUUAAUGAGAACGAACUGUGUGCCAUCUGCUCCAACCCAAAAAAAUAAAAUAAAAAUCGGUCUAGGCGCCCUGGGCGGAUCUUUUUGUUUUGUUUUGUUUAAUAUUUGUAAUUAUUUAAUAUCUCCUUAACAUGCUCCAAGGGCCUGCACCAACGGAAUUGCCAGGGUUCAAUAUCUCCCUAACAUGCUCCCAGAAAACCACAAUAUCACAAUAUCAGAAAGUGUAAUGGUAAACUCUAUAAAGGAAAAGAAUAGGUGUAGUUGGAAUAUUUAAGGAAAUUUUUUGGGUCAGCAGAGAAAUGAGCAACCUUUUGGUUUCAUUAGCGACAAUGAGUUUUCAUCUUUAAAAAUGCAAAAAUGCUGCAAGUUAAGAAAUUGUGACCUUGCAAGAGAAUGCUCGGAAAUGACAAGAGAUAAGUGGUGGUGAGAACAGGCUGCAUUCCUG